Canis lupus familiaris (dog) is the source of this 368-nucleotide long non-coding RNA. RefSeq lists it as uncharacterized. The transcript is spliced from 3 exons. The record is from RefSeq and is a predicted model, not a curated record. Lineage: Eukaryota; Metazoa; Chordata; Mammalia; Carnivora; Canidae.
AAAUACAUACCAGGCUCGCACAGAAGACACAGAGGAUUUACAGAGGGAGGAAGGAGAGAGCAGGAGAGCAUCCUCAGAAUGUGAAACCGAGGCCCAAAGAACAGUCAUUCACCCAAGGAGGAGAAGAAGGCUGUGUGCCCCAGGCCUUUCCCAAGUACGAUUGCAUGUGAUCCACACAACCACAGUGAAAGGGCUCAGCGUGGUGAUGAGGAAGCACGGGGACUUUGGAGAAGUCGGUUAAUGUCCUGGAUCCUGAGUUUACUCACCUAUAAUAUCGAGAUCGGCCGUUCAUCCUACGACUGAGCAUCAGGUGCCAUGCACUGGAUACACACAGCAGUGAGCAAAAUAGACUGGAGAUGGUACCGACC